Molecule: ribosomal RNA, 254 nt
Filed under: uncultured bacterium
Lineage: Bacteria
Description: partial 16S ribosomal RNA
Rfam family: Bacterial small subunit ribosomal RNA
Source: RNAcentral
UACGUAGGGGGCGAGCGUUGUCCGGAUUCAUUGGGCGUAAAGCGCUUUAAGGCGGUUCGGUAAGUCGGGUGUGAAACCUCCAGGCUCAACCUGGAGACGCCACUCGAUACUGCUGUGACUAGAGUUCGGUAGGGGAUCACGGAAUUCCUGGUGUAGCGGUGAAAUGCGCAGAUAUCAGGAGGAACACCGGUGGCGAAGGCGGUGAUCUGGGCCGACACUGACGCUGUAGAGCGAAAGCGUGGGGAGCAAACAGG